CCCGGGCUACCCCCUGCCUUGGCCCCCAGCCCGGCCCUCUCUCCCUCCCCGGGUCAGACUGAGUCCCCAACGGCCCAUGAACCCGGUGGGGGCCGGAGCCUCGGCCCAGACACCUUUGAUGGUUGCCCUUUGCCCCCUCCGCUCGGAGCAGACAAAUGAGGGAAAUUGACUCUUCCUGCAUCUUGGGGGAAGUUUGUCUCUCCCAGGAAGAUUGGAAGGCCCGAGGGAGAGGCCAUGUGCAUUUUCUUCAUCUCCAUAUACCCAGCGCAAGAACAUGCACAGGGAAAAGUGUUCUUUCUCAACAAUGAUGCCUUUUUAAAGGCCAAGACAAUCCUCUGUGUGGUGGCGCCGUCUGGAACUCCCCAGAAAAUGCCCGUGACAAUGGCAGCAGGCAGCCAGGCCAGAUUGGGAUCUGGCCAGCUUUGGAGGGAGCAUUGCUCAGUCUGGGAGUCUCUGCCCCAAUCCAGGGGAAAUUCCGGCACACAGAGAAACUCACAUGUCGGAAGAACACCAGGUGAAGAUAAAGGCAGAGAUCGAAAGUUGCUUCUACAAGCAGGAAUGCCAAGGAUUGCCAGCAGACCAGCAAGCAGGGAGAGAGGCCAAACUAGACUCUCCCUCACAGCCCUCAGAAGGAACCAAGCCUACUGACACCUGGAUUCUGGACUUCUAACCUCCAGAACCGAGACAAUACAUUUCUGACGUAAUGGCAGCCCUAAGCAAAUUAACACAGCAGUGAAAUACACAUACCGUAAAAUGUACUGUUUUAAUCAUUUUUAAGGUGUAUAGUUCGUUGACGUUAAGUGCAUUCACAUUGUGCAGCUAUGCUUUGUCUUUAGCUGGGGCAAACCCGGGAAGACGAUGGGAAGGCUGGAAGACCUAGCUCCAUAUCUGCUCUGCUCAGCUGAGUGGCCUGUGUCAUCAUGUGUGCAGUGAAGAGACGGGCACACAACUUCCUGCCCUGAUGCUAUCGCUGCCCAUGUGUGGAGAAAUUAUAAUAACGUAAUAGCUCACAGUUUACUGAGCAAUUAUUAUGUUCCAGGUCCAUGCAAAUAGCUUUACAGGGAUUAUCUCUUUUAAUAAGUAACUUUAUCAAGGAGGUAUCAUUAGUCCCAUUUGACAGAUGGGGAAAUGGAGCCUCAACGAGAUGAAUGAGAUGGCUCAGUCUUGGCAGCCUUGGAAGAUGCAGGGGUGGAGGUCUUAACCACUGUGUAACACUCGCCUUCAAUAACCUUUGGGCACACUGGCCUGAGAGAAAGUAAAAAACAUAAGAUAUUGAUCAGAUUGAAAGAUGUUUUUGCCAAAUCAGCCAACUGCCCUAGAGACCCCAUUGCACACAGAAUCAUACCACCAUGUCCCCAUGUCCUGGGGUGGGACUCUGAAGAGUUCAAAAAUUCUAAAUUCAAACUUGGCUUUCCGGGUCAUUUCUGAAGGUACAUUUAUGGAAGUAGGAAAAUAAAACAUCUUAUU
Eptesicus fuscus (big brown bat) is the source of this 1467-nucleotide long non-coding RNA. RefSeq lists it as uncharacterized. The transcript has 4 exons. Lineage: Eukaryota; Metazoa; Chordata; Mammalia; Chiroptera; Vespertilionidae. The record is from RefSeq and is a predicted model, not a curated record.